RNAcentral lists this ribosomal RNA (119 nucleotides) under Rodentolepis nana. Lineage: Eukaryota; Metazoa; Platyhelminthes; Cestoda; Cyclophyllidea; Hymenolepididae. The record is from RNAcentral.
GUCAGCGACCAUACCACGUAGGAAGCACCAGUUCUCGUCCGAUCACCGAAGUUAAGCUACUUCAGGCCGGGCUAGUACUUGAAUGGGUGACCGGCUGGGAAUAUCCGGUGUUGCUGACU